UACGUAGGGCGCGAGCGUUGUCCGGAUUUAUUGGGCGUAAAGAGCUCGUAGGCGGCUUGUCGCGUCGUCCGUGAAAACCUGGGGCUCAACCCCAGGCUUGCGGUCGAUACGGGCAGGCUAGAGUUCGGUAGGGGAGACUGGAAUUCCUGGUGUAGCGGUGAAAUGCGCAGAUAUCAGGAGGAACACCGGUGGCGAAGGCGGGUCUCUGGGCCGAUACUGACGCUGAGGAGCGAAAGCGUGGGGAGCGAACAGG
RNAcentral lists this ribosomal RNA (253 nucleotides) under uncultured bacterium. RNAcentral describes it as "partial 16S ribosomal RNA". It matches the Rfam family "Bacterial small subunit ribosomal RNA", at positions 524 to 776 of the family's 1533-position model. The record is from RNAcentral.